Molecule: long non-coding RNA, 442 nt
Filed under: Carica papaya (papaya)
Lineage: Eukaryota; Viridiplantae; Streptophyta; Magnoliopsida; Brassicales; Caricaceae
Description: long non-coding RNA (CPAP_LNC004646)
Source: RNAcentral
CUAUUUAAUUUAUUCAAAUCCAUUUGAGAAAAAUUCUCUUUCGAAGCAUAUUUAAAAAUUUAUUUACUAAACCAUAAUAAAUCACAGUGUUUUAUUAAUCUCUCAAGCUUAACCUAAUUUACUAUCUCGUUAGCCGUCCACUUUACUCAAUUAAUUUAUUUACUGCAUUUUAAUUUCAUUAGUAUAUAUUUAAAGUUUACCUUUCACAUCAUUAAUCCCAAUAACCACAUGCAAUAAAAUAUGCAAGCAAAAAUUUAAUUUCAUACAAUAGAAUAUCAACAUGCAAUAGAAUUAACAAAUGGAAAUCAAAGAAUUUUUAAUCCACCCAAACAUGCUGGAAAACAAUAAGCUAGGGUUCUGUCGAGGUGGUUUUCACUGCGUAGAUAGUGCCCAAGCCUAUUCCUAGCCACUCACGUGUACUUGCACCACAUCAAACUUCCAA